UUGGUUCCGGCCUAACCGCCGUCACGAUAAGACGUGUUCGAACAUGUUCGGACCUUGUGAUUUUUUUGGAUCGUGUCUUGGAAAUUUCCAAGACUUUACUCUCAAAUUAUAUCAUUAGUCGGAAACUGGCGUAGGGGCAUUACUCUUAUAGAGGCCUGUAGCCAUAUAUUGAAGGAAGGAAGGAAGGAAGGAUAUAAGUGACAUUUAAUUGAAAAGAGAAAUAAAAAUCACACAAAUAAGUGAAAACAUAAUAAAAAAGUGAAAACAAAGUGCAUAUAAAUGAACAAGCUUUUCAGUUUUUUGACGUGCCUUGAUAAACAUCAUUCACGGCUGAAACAUUGUUCUUCGCAUUUGAAUCAUUGUCAACUGAGGAACAAAACCUGUAUAAAAUAAAAGAGAAGCAUAAAGAAGGAAGAUGGAAAGAAGUAAAUGGAGAAUAGACAAAUAUAUAUCAGAUAAGUAGCUAAUAUAUCUCAUAAAAUAAAAAAUUAUAUAUCUUAUGUGUUCUUUGUAACUGUUGAUGUUGGAUCGAUUCUUCUCUUGAAUUAAUUUUUUUGUUCUAGUUUCCCUGCCAAUCAUUUGCUCGCAGAAUAUUAACAGCCAAAAAACAAUUCUUUACAAAGUGAGGCUGCCUAAUUCUGAGCCUACCCUUGUUCUCAAGUGUACCCAAAUUCAAACAGAAUGUAUUGUCCACAUUGGCCAUUGCAAGAAUGGAAUGUAGGAAUGAAAAUGGAAUGCUUGUUCACAAAUCAAGGAUCGAUUUACAAGAGAUAUACAUUUGACAUUAUAAAGAGUAAAAAUAAAUUAUAUAUAUUGUAAAUGGAAGAUGUACAAGGGCUAUGAGAAAUUAAGGAAUCACAAGUCUAGGAAACAGUAAUUAAAAGAAGAAUAGGAAGUAUUAAAAUGUUUAUGAAUUUACUUAUAAAUUUUUAUUUUCCCACUAAUUGUGAUAAUUUAUAUAAAGAGAAUAAAAGGUUCAAAUUUUGAUUAUUUUUUAUUUCGUUCCAAAUUUGUAAUAUAUUAUUUUCUUUUUCUUUCAGGGUAUUUCGUCUAGUUUGCAUUCAAAAUUUCAAAUAUCUCGCGAAACUCCGAAUACAUUUUUGGUGUUCAAGAAGGUAAACUGUAAAUAAUAAUUUAUUUUAAGAAUAGAAAUAAUAUAGAAAAAAUGCUAAAUAAAGUGUUCACAAUAUAUCUAAAAAAUCUACAAUUGUCGUGUGUUUUUUUUAGAUUUGAUCGAUGUUGUCGAUUGUGUGUUUCAGAGGCAUUGUUUGUUCUGUAUAUUUGUUGAAAAACACUGAAGGAAUCGGGUUUAAAACCGUUUAUCUUUUUGUAAUAAUUGAAAAAUGACUGCAAAUACGUGCAAUUCUUGAAAAUAAUUGUUGAUAUUAAUUGGAAGCCUUCUUCUAUUAAUGCGCAUGGUAAAAAAGGCAAAGAUGUUAAUAAUUUGACAGCACUGCAACCUGAUUCUUUUUG
This is a long non-coding RNA of Odontomachus brunneus, 1473 nucleotides long. RefSeq lists it as uncharacterized. NCBI's taxonomy places the organism in Eukaryota, Metazoa, Arthropoda, Insecta, Hymenoptera, Formicidae. The record is from RefSeq and is a predicted model, not a curated record. The transcript is spliced from 3 exons.